GAACAAGUUACUCAUUACAGACUAUUAAAAAAGAUGACAGGGACAGCAAAAGGAGUAUCCAAAUAAUGGGAAUUUUCUUCUCUUCAUCUCCCUACUCAUCCAAGAGAGUUGAAGAUUAAAGCAGUGGAAGAUAAGUGUUGGUGCGAGGAUUUAAAAGCUUGAAUGGACCUAAGGACAAGGAGCGCUGCUGGUGGUGGGUGGAUGCAGACGGCAGACCUGAGAGCAAAUACAGUGGAAAGGAACUGUUCUUGUCAUUAUGGCUUGAGAUUGGCAGCCUGUGUGUGAUGAUUAGGAUUCAGCUGGAGAUCUCUCUGAAGGAAGUCAAUAUGAAGGAGGUAAAAUGGAAUGC
This is a long non-coding RNA of Struthio camelus australis, 349 nucleotides long. RefSeq lists it as uncharacterized. Lineage: Eukaryota; Metazoa; Chordata; Aves; Struthioniformes; Struthionidae. The record is from RefSeq and is a predicted model, not a curated record.